GACGAACGCUGGCGGCGUGCCUAAUACAUGCAAGUUGAGCGAUGAAGAUUGGUGCUUGCACCAAUUUGAAGAGCAGCGAACGGGUGAGUAACGCGUGGGGAAUCUGCCUUUGAGCGGGGGACAACAUUUGGAAACGAAUGCUAAUACCGCAUAACAACUUUAAACAUAAGUUUUAAGUUUGAAAGAUGCAAUUGCAUCACUCAAAGAUGAUCCCGCGUUGUAUUAGCUAGUUGGUGAGGUAAAGGCUCACCAAGGCGAUGAUACAUAGCCGACCUGAGAGGGUGAUCGGCCACAUUGGGACUGAGACACGGCCCAAACUCCUACGGGAGGCAGCAGUAGGGAAUCUUCGGCAAUGGACGAAAGUCUGACCGAGCAACGCCGCGUGAGUGAAGAAGGUUUUCGGAUCGUAAUACUCUGUUGGUAGAGAAGAACGUUGGUGAGAGUGGAAAGCUCAUCAAGUGACGGUAACUACCCAGAAAGGGACGGCUAACUACGU
RNAcentral lists this ribosomal RNA (496 nucleotides) under uncultured bacterium. RNAcentral's name for it is "partial 16S ribosomal RNA". It matches the Rfam family "Bacterial small subunit ribosomal RNA", at positions 28 to 506 of the family's 1533-position model. The record is from RNAcentral.